Molecule: ribosomal RNA, 253 nt
Filed under: uncultured bacterium
Lineage: Bacteria
Description: partial 16S ribosomal RNA
Rfam family: Bacterial small subunit ribosomal RNA
Source: RNAcentral
UACGGGGGGGGCAAGCGUUGUUCGGAAUUACUGGGCGUAAAGGGCUCGUAGGCGGCCCACUAAGUCGGACGUGAAAUCCCCAGGCUCAACCUGGGAACUGCGUCCGAUACUGGAUGGCUUGAAUUCGGGAGAGGGAUGCAGAAUUCCAGGUGUAGCGGUGAAAUGCGUAGAUAUCUGGAGGAAUACCGGUGGCGAAGGCGGCAACCUGGACCAUUACUGACGCUGAGGCGCGAAAGCUAGGGGAGCAAACGGG